AUUCCUAAUUAGCUUAAGGUAAAAGCCCAUAACUCUUAAUUAUGGAGAUAAUUUAUAUAAUUAUUAGGAAA
RNAcentral lists this transfer RNA (71 nucleotides) under Amphioplus laevis. RNAcentral's name for it is "tRNA-Lys". It matches the Rfam family "tRNA". Rfam says of the family: Transfer RNA (tRNA) molecules are approximately 80 nucleotides in length. Their secondary structure includes four short double-helical elements and three loops (D, anti-codon, and T loops). Lineage: Eukaryota; Metazoa; Echinodermata; Ophiuroidea; Amphilepidida; Amphiuridae. The record is from RNAcentral.